UGGUCAAGUUAUUAAGGGUGCAGGGCGGAUGCCUUGGCACUAGGAGCCGAUGAAGGACGUGAUAAGCUGCGAUAAGCUUCGGGGAGUUGCACGUAAACUUUGAUCCGAAGAUUUCCGAAUGAGGAAACUCACUUAGAGUAAUGUCUAAGUAUCAUUAAGUGAAUACAUAGCUUAAUGAGGGGAACUCAGGGAACUGAAACAUCUAAGUACCUGAAGGAAGAGAAAGAAAUUCGAUUCCGUAAGUAGCGGCGAGCGAACGCGGAUUAGCCCAAACCAAUAAAGUUUUCUUUAUUGGGGUUGCGGACAUAUCAUAACGAAGAGGUAUCGUAA
This 330-nucleotide ribosomal RNA is filed under the name Clostridioides difficile. RNAcentral's name for it is "partial 23S ribosomal RNA". It matches the Rfam family "Bacterial large subunit ribosomal RNA", at positions 1 to 331 of the family's 2925-position model. Lineage: Bacteria; Bacillati; Bacillota; Clostridia; Peptostreptococcales; Peptostreptococcaceae. The record is from RNAcentral.